This is a long non-coding RNA of Cyprinus carpio carpio, 1063 nucleotides long. The record is from Ensembl. Lineage: Eukaryota; Metazoa; Chordata; Actinopteri; Cypriniformes; Cyprinidae.
AUGACCAGUGACUUUCCUUCCGUUACUGCAGAGUCCUUCCUUCAAGAGCUUAAAAGCUCACUGUUUGAGGAAAUACAUGAGGAUGAAACGGUACUUCAAGCCUCAACAGACUGGUCGACCCGAAAGAGCCUCAUAUCAGGGUGGUGGGAGAAAGAGAGACCCCGACUGGUCAACACCAUGGUGGCUGGACAACAUGCGGCAACUCGGAUCUGCCAACAUUGUGGAAAUGGUCCAGCCGUAAUCCGUUGUUGUGACUGCCGACCACACCCAUUCCUCUGUGGCCAGUGUGAUGUCAGGGUCCACCGAGGUCAAGUGUUCCACAACAGGGAUUCGAUGACACAUGCAUUCUUUCAUCCAUUGCCUCCCACAACUUGUGUUGUGGAGAGGGUUCUAACCCAGUGUGAGCGUCUUGUACCUUUGGAGAUGCCAGAGACAAUAUGCGGUUGUCUACGAGUAUCGUCCCAGUGUCAUCGCAGGACAGUCCAUAGUUGUGGUUACAAUGAAUGGGCGAUAUGAUCUCAGAUUGCCUCAGAUUAGAUGCAAAGCAUGUGAAGCCACUUGGAGUCCUGGAGUGGAUGACCUGAUCCGUAAUGACUACUGGCCUGCCACUUCUCACUAUUCAACUGUGUAUGCAACAGAUGUCCUUUUUUCUUUUUGAAGAGCUGAAGAUGGCAGCACCAGGGAUGUCUAGCCAAGCAUUUCUUAGAAUGCUGGAUCAACGCACUGUUCGAUUUGGCCGUGUAAGUAUUUGUGGUAAUAAUUGCGUAACUCCAUAAAUAAUACUAUGAGGGCAUGAUGAUGAUGAUAGUACACAUGAACAUUUGCACUGUUUAGGAAAAAAAAGUUGUGUUCAAUUUAGACCCUUUAUAAACAACCAUAAACUCAUGUUCUCUCAUCAGCAGUUUGCACUGAGACAUUUCCAACAGGUAAUUCUGAAGAUCUCAACUUCUACUCCAUUGGCUACAGACUUUGACAUCUUCUCCCCAAUAUCAUUUCCUGAUCCCAGAAGUGUUCCCUUGGAUUAAUGGCCCAAACACUGCACAGGCUUACUUCUAAACAAUAU